AUGUCAGUUGAAGCACUUGCAAUGGCUGGUGUUGAUUACAUGGAAAUGGAGCAUAGGUUUAAAAAGAUAAUAACAGAGUCACCAAAGGCUACUAAACGUGAGAGUAGUCAUGGGAUUAUUGGGAGGGAUGAUGAUGAGUGGGUGAAGUUGAAGAUGCGGGAAUGGGCUACGGCUGUUGCUUCGAACAAUGAAACCAAUGCUAAUCGUAGAGUUUCUGAGAUUCUUCUUAUCAUCAAUAAUCAUCGUCACAAUCACAUGAGAGGGAAUUAA
Vicia faba (fava bean) is the source of this 270-nucleotide non-coding RNA. The record is from the annotation of a GenBank genome assembly. NCBI's taxonomy places the organism in Eukaryota, Viridiplantae, Streptophyta, Magnoliopsida, Fabales, Fabaceae.